Molecule: long non-coding RNA, 504 nt
Filed under: Anser brachyrhynchus (Pink-footed goose)
Lineage: Eukaryota; Metazoa; Chordata; Aves; Anseriformes; Anatidae
Description: lncRNA (ENSABRG00000020885.1)
Source: RNAcentral
AUGGCACUUUCAGGUACGGGAGCAGAUGGACUGUGCACAAGCAAGGUUGCAACUUUCUCACUUGCAGGAAGCAAAAGGAUGGGGGAAAACGUGAGAAAUAGGUAUAAGAGUUCUGCCAAAAUAGCUCUCAUGACUGCUGAGCGCAAAGGAGCUCCAGGAGUCAACGAGCAACUUGGGGUACAUCUAAGACACGACGCUUUGCUCGUCCAGUCUUCUUCUCUGCAGCACGCCUCCUCCUCCUGUCUCAUCGCCGUCUGCGCGGAUUCUCUCCCGACACCAAUCAGAAGUAAUCAGAUCAGAAGCAGCGUUGGAAUCGAAAACAGACUCGACGGAGGAAUUUUUCACUUGCCUGAGGAAAAUAAAAAGCCUCUCUUGGCUAUCCAGCACCCUUCCUGGCUGGCGGCACAGGGGAGGACGCAGAGUUGCCAUCCCCAGAGUCAUUCCCAAAGGGCGUAUAAAGGUGAGGAGAAGCGACCCUACAGGCUAUGGGGACAGAAACCUUGA